AGUCUUAUAUUCAAAUAUGAUAUAAAAUUGCAAAUUUUAAGGUAUAAUAAUUAUUAAGGCUU
RNAcentral lists this transfer RNA (62 nucleotides) under Pycnarmon lactiferalis. RNAcentral's name for it is "tRNA-Cys". The record is from RNAcentral. Lineage: Eukaryota; Metazoa; Arthropoda; Insecta; Lepidoptera; Crambidae.